CCACUAUAUUGAACAACUGCUUGGUCUAAGAAAUCAAGCAUGUCAUUUCCUCCACUUGCAACACAUUCCACCGCUGGUUGUGGGAAGGGGUCAGAAGCAGAAACCUCUCCUGUCAAAAGGUCAAGCAGAUUACUAGGAAACGGAUCAUUCUGUUGUACUGGUGUGGACACAGUUUCAGCCUGUAAAGAUUUUGCGGCAAAAGGAUUCGAGUCAGAACAAGAUGAAAAAGGAACUUCAUCUUCUUUUGUUUUCCCUGCAAUCUCAGCCAAUCUUCCUCCGGUACGUUCGCUAGUAAACAUUCCUUUCCAUGGAAGAGAAACUCCAAGGACUUCUAUCUGUAUCACAAACACAAUGCAGAAGAAGUUUUGUUUUAAACUGUUUUGCUUUCAUGUUGGCUAGUCAUACUAUUAGAUAAAUCAUUAAUUUUAGUCCAGAAAGUAGUUAUUACCUGACCAAGAGUCAUGGGGAUUUUAAGAGAACCAGCUGGAUAAAAUGUAACAGAAACUACACGGGUCAAGAAAUCCAGUUGUCCUUCUAGUUCUUCAAAAUCAUACAGCAGUGAAAGACUUGACGUAUCUUUUUCAUGGAGACGCGCACCAGCUCCAGUAAUAGCAAUAUCCUCAUCACGAAUUGGCCCUGGUAAGGGUAUCAGAAGAUUUGUACCAUUCGCACACCGCGGUAUCGAAGCAUCCUGUCCAAAAACCAGAAAUACAGACAAUCGUCAUCCAGUUGAACUAGCUUGCAUGCACGUCUACAUGAUACAAUAAAAGAGAAGGGACAAGAGAGUCAGUCAACCUGAACAACUAAUUUAAGGUCCUCUAAGUGGCGUCCAGUUUUCACGUUCACAGUGGAUGGACAUGUCAAAUCAUCCGCACCGUGUGAUAUUGUCAGUACAAGUUGACAUACAUGGCAAGGCUCACUGAGGUAGAUAACUAACUCAACAGCAUCUGCAGCUUGUGGACAUAGCUGCAAAGUAUAUAAAAAGCAGGGGAAACUUUUAGCUCAAAUUUUUGAGGGAUGAGAACAAAGAGGUAAUGUUUUAUCCAAAAGGAGGUACCCAAGUUAUGUCCUUCGUCUUGAUACUCAGCAGACUGGACCCAUCAUUGGAAGUCUCAGACAUGCUCGGUACAGGUUUCAGAAAGAAACCACCUGGCCGAGAAAGUACCUGACAUGAAAAAAAGUUCCAGUGAGCAGUAACAUUAACAUAGCUGCAGUGAAAAAUUGUAUUAGUUUGCUUACAUGUAAAGGCUGCACAGGAAUCGAUGGAAGAUGCUUGAAAAGCCUCAUUCCCAGAAACAUCUCCAGCUGCUUUUGCCGUGAACUAUCAACCAUUGCAUUUUUAUAUCUUCUCUGUAAGGUAAUUUUCAUGUUUUUCUGUGCUGCAGAAAACUGUUUAAACGCUCCUGACUCUUCACUGAAGAUAUUGAGAACUUGGCUGUGCAUAGCUUUUGAGCCAGUAUAGAGAGUUGCAUGGAUAUCACCUUGUUGCAGAAAAAGAUCUGCGAGCUCAGACACAGGAGACAAGAUAGUUGAUCUCUUAAACUCCUCAAACCUCAUGUCAAGUCUCUUCCAUGGUUUAUCAGGACAUGGAUGACUCCAUGUUGUUGUCUUAGUAUUGUGAUCAAUAAAAUAAGAUUUUCCAGUGACUGCAUCAGCUCUUUUCUCCCAUCCCGGUGGAAGCGGAGCAGUAUAGCUACUCCCAGAAUUAUAACCAUAUCCAAUAUCAGUAUCAAGUGAUAUCCCCAGCCUUCUACAUUGCUCAACGAACACUUGAAGACCUAUAGAAGUAGCAGAGCCAUCAGCAAGACUUCCACCUCCAUUCGCGUUGUCCCUGGAGUAGGAUUUUGAAAGCAGAACCGCUCCUCUUCCGGCACAACAAGACUUGCAAGCUUUCUUCCUACACUGUAAACAUAAGAACACUGAGCCUGGCUCUCCCCCCAAACUCUUGGUAGUAGAUCCAACUGAAUUUUUGUUGACCUCGGCUCUGACUUGACACACUCCACCGUUACAACCCUCACCAAUUCCGUUAAUAUUCCAGAAAUCUAUCACACUAUUUUCCAGCUUCUCUAAAUCAAUAGAAGCUAUAAGUUUAUCUUCAAGAGAAGCCUGGCCAAGAACUGCAAGUGCAUUUGCUAUUCUGCAUAAUCUUCCAAUAUAUAACUCGUCGUGUGAAGAGUUCGGAUUAAUUGUAGCAGGAUCAAUUCCAAUUGAUAACAGUGCCCUAUCUCUUUCUGCUGCAGAAAUAUUCAGACGUAGCCGUUCAAUUUCAAGUUUAAUAGCUUCUAUAAACUCAAGCUUCCUUCCCUGUAUUAUAAUAGACAUGCAGAAAUUAAGUUUACAAUUAAAAUGGCAGUUUAAGAGGACAUAUAACAUCUGAGAUGAAUAGCUGAACCAAGAAAGGAGUCAUAAGAUCAGAAAUGGUAUGUGACAAGAUGAAGUAACAUACCAUGUUUGGACCCAUAACGGACUUCAGACAAUUUAAGUACAGAUGAGAACCACUCUCUCUAGAACUUUUAUCUUGUGAAGAAGACAUGCUGGGAACAGUUUCAGGACCACUAUAUUGAACAACUGCUUGGUCUAAGAAAUCAAGCAUGUCAUUUCCUCCACUUGCAACACAUUCCACCGCUGGUUGUGGGAAGGGGUCAGAAGCAGAAACCUCUCCUGUCAAAAGGUCAAGCAGAUUACUAGGAAACGGAUCAUUCUGUUGUACUGGUGUGGACACAGUUUCAGCCUGUAAAGAUUUUGCGGCAAAAGGAUUCGAGUCAGAACAAGAUGAAAAAGGAACUUCAUCUUCU
Molecule: long non-coding RNA, 2795 nt
Filed under: Brassica napus (rape)
Lineage: Eukaryota; Viridiplantae; Streptophyta; Magnoliopsida; Brassicales; Brassicaceae
Description: long non-coding RNA (BNAP_LNC008279)
Source: RNAcentral